AGGGCUGACUGCCACGGAAGAAGGAUCUUUCUCUGGCAAUUGCUUCUCUUGGAGUUUUUCCUGCAAGCUUAGGAUACGGCUUCCAUGGAAAUCUUUCAGAGUAUUUACUUCCAGAGACACCUACAAAAUCAGCAGACUACUCUUCCAAAGGAGCAGUAAUCAUAGGAUAUUCUCUGAAGGAUUAAUCGGAUUUCAAGGAACAGAUAAUCCACCACGUGGCAACUUUUCUCCUCAGCAGUUUUUCCUACUUAAUUCUAAUGAUGAACAGGAACCAGUGAACAACCAUGACUGUCAUAUUGCAUCUUGUUUAUAAAGGCAUGACUGUAUUUCCGUAAACUACUACAUAUCAUACAAAUCACUGUGGUUUUCCUUUUCUGGCAAAAUGCCCAGUUACUAGGUUGAAACAAUAUUGAACUCCUGGUGUUGCACAUAGAAAACUGAAGCAAAGAUGGUCCAUCAGCAAACAAGUAACUGUUCAUUCUGACCAUUCCGAGAAGGACCUGGUUAGCAGCAAGUUAUUCCAGCAUGCCUUUGCGAUACUGAAAAUUACUUAAAUUGCAAAUGGUUUGGCGAGCUCUUUCCUUCAUCUAACUCUAUCGACUUUUGCCUUGAGAUCAGGGAGAAUAAUGACUAGAAAUCAGCUGUAGCCUUGAAACUUUAAUCUAAAUUUUUGCUUGGAAGUGAGUCUGAUACGAGCUAUCUUUCUUUGUAGCUGUGGGACAGCAUGGGAUUGUGGCAUUUGAAUUCCUUGUUUUUCAGCUCAUGGCAGUACAAUUUAUUUAUCAGCUUGAAGUAAAUGCCUUUCGUAUAGCUGCUUGCAUGUGGUCAUUAUGGAAAAUUGUAUACAGAUUCCCAGUUCAGUUUAAGUUACAGAUUAUAUGAAAACUCAAAAUCACAAUCAGUAUUCUGUUGCACAAAAGAGGGAACUUCACAAAAAAAGUUAAUUCUUUGGUCAAUAUCUUUAUGUCUGCACAGCAUCAGGCAAUCAACUCUCAAUAAACCGCAAUAAAUAACAAAUAAGCAUAAGGAAGUACAGCUGAAAUACUCUGAAGUAUUUAAGGCUUUAAAAAUUUAAGGCCAAGUAAUUACAGCCUUAUAGAUAUAUUUACUAUAGAGAAGUGUUUUCCUUGAGGGAAUUUGAGGUUAACCACAUGGCACACUGACCUAAUCUUCUUAACUACAAUGAGACACUACUGAUGAAGUAUGACAUUGCUACCUAUAUUUGCAGCACAAAACAACAGACAAAAUGGCUGUAUAGGUUAUUUGGUAGUCUUCAAAAAUAACCUUAGUUAUGCAAGGUAAUAUA
This is a long non-coding RNA of Tympanuchus pallidicinctus (lesser prairie-chicken), 1306 nucleotides long. RefSeq lists it as uncharacterized. The record is from RefSeq and is a predicted model, not a curated record. The transcript has 3 exons. NCBI's taxonomy places the organism in Eukaryota, Metazoa, Chordata, Aves, Galliformes, Phasianidae.